CCACCUUGAUUACUGCUCUUGCGCCCAUGAGCAAGGCACUUUAUUCCAGUUUGCUUGGAGAAGGGAGUGACUUUCAUAAGUCACUAGUGAGGAGAUAAGCUUCCUCUGCGACCCUAGCUACAGGGUGUACUUGGGCAAGGCAUAGCACCUGUUUAGCCUCCCGUGCCAGGGUUACGGUGAAGAUGUCUAAUGUAGUAGAGAUGUGCAAGUGACUGACCACAGCAUUGACCUAAUUGGAGGGAAGACGAAACAUAGCUAAAGGAGUGCUGCUCUGCUAGAUAAUCCACAACGAAGAAGAUAAUUGGAUAAGAGGAGGGAUAAUUGGUGCCAGUGUGUUGAGUCAUGAGGCUGGGAUUGGAGCAAGAUGUCUUUUCCUCCAUUCAAACACCAUGCAUGCUUAUCAUUUGGACCAGCAAUACAAAAACAAGGAACCAGGACUUCAAACUCAAGACUUCAGGACUUCAGGACUUCAAGACUUCAAGACUUCAACACUGCCACACCCACGGAUCAGCACACACCCUAUACACACCUAUCACGCACCGCCCCUACAUUAAGCAUUCAAUAUAGGGCUAGCAGCAUCAUGUCAAUCACCAGCGCGUGGUCUCCGACGACAGUCACCAUCGCGCAGGCCGUGCGCUUCCUCUCUUUAGGAAUCAAGUUUAGAGGGUGGGUCAGGAUCGGUUUACGUUCGCGUGUGCCAGGGGGUGAGACAACACCUUAGCUGGUCAGAGCAUGGGAAAUCCCACCUCCCCCCUCCCAAGAGCGUGGGAGUUGGGGUUGGGGUGUCCGGCUCGCAGGUUUACCCUGGCACAAUCGCAUAAUAGGUUGAAUGACG
Molecule: long non-coding RNA, 835 nt
Organism: Priapulus caudatus
Lineage: Eukaryota; Metazoa; Priapulida; Priapulimorpha; Priapulimorphida; Priapulidae
Exons: 3
Source: RefSeq, a predicted model, not a curated record